UGAUGUCCUCACGGCUGAGAGGUGGAG
Molecule: non-coding RNA, 27 nt
Filed under: Mus musculus (house mouse)
Lineage: Eukaryota; Metazoa; Chordata; Mammalia; Rodentia; Muridae
Source: RNAcentral